This is a long non-coding RNA of Oncorhynchus tshawytscha (Chinook salmon), 785 nucleotides long. RefSeq lists it as uncharacterized. The record is from RefSeq and is a predicted model, not a curated record. The transcript has 3 exons. Lineage: Eukaryota; Metazoa; Chordata; Actinopteri; Salmoniformes; Salmonidae.
GUAGUGUGUAGAUUGCGGAGGAUUUUAAUUGUUUUAACCCAUUUUUAAUAAGGUUUUAACUUAACAAAAUGUGAAAAAAGUGAAGGGGUCUGAAUACUUUCCCAAAGGCAGGCAACAGUUUUCCCAGGCCUCCACUGAAGAUCUCACCUUACUCAGGGUUAGGUUCGGGAGGGGCGCAGUGCACAAUAGUCUGCUCUCCCACUUCAACCAGGACAGUGUCUGACGUUGAAGAGGAUUAAAAGAGAGAAUGGACCAAGCUACAGACAAGGAGAGAGAUAAUAUAGGAGUAGGGCUAAAUUGCACGGUUCUGUGCCCCUCUGCCUCAUGUGGAAUCCUGUGCGAAUUUCAGCCCAACAGUGACUGCCAGAGCAGCAGUUGGAUAAAGGGCUUAACUUUCUCUGUGUGUUUGUCUCUGUGUGUGUGAGCUGAGUAGAGUGGGGUGCAAAGAGUGUGUGUGUGUGUGUGUGAGAGAGAGUAAUGUAGAGCAGACAAAAGCAGGGUGCAAAGAGGAUGGGGUGCACAGGAGAUGGGAUACUGCCAGGGGUCAGCUGAUUUCAGGGAAACACAAUCCAUCAAUCAGAUGUUAAACACACACACGCUGCUCUAAUCUGCCAAGUCAUGCUCACACAGCCCACAGAGUGGAGUGCAAAUGCAGAGGUUAAAUGUUGAUCCACUCACACAUUCUAGAGAGCUUGUGAUUGCCUUGCUGAAAUGGUUUGCUACAACAAAACAAGUUAGCUGUGAAAUCAUUAUUACACAAUAUAACUUGGCCUUAAAAAACAACA